GACGAACGCUGGCGGCGUGGAUUAGGCAUGCAAGUCGAACGGUAUCAUCCUUUCGGGGGUGAGAGAGUGGCGAACUGGUGAGUAACACGUAGGUUAUCUACCCUCAAGACGGGGACAACCCAGGGAAACUUGGGCUAAUACCGGAUGAGAGUGCGAGAGAUUGCAUUUAAAAGGAUGGCGAAAGUUGUCGCUUAGGGAUGAGCCUGCGGUCUAUUAGUUAGUUGGUGAGGUAAGAGCUCACCAAGGCGAUGAUAGAUAGGCGGCCUUAACGGGUGGUCGCCCACACUGGGAUUGAGAUACGGCCCAGACUCCUACGGGAGGCAGCAGUCGAGAAUAGUCUACAAUGGCCGGAAGGCUGAUAGUGCGACGCCGCGUGAACGAGGGAGCCCUUCGGGGUGUAAAGUUCUUUUCUAUACGAGCAGUGCUAUAUAUAUGGAUAGUAUAUAUAGAGGGAUAGUAGUAUAGGAAUAAGCAACGGCUAACUCCGUGCCAGCCAGCCGAC
Molecule: ribosomal RNA, 502 nt
Filed under: uncultured bacterium
Lineage: Bacteria
Description: bacterial SSU rRNA
Rfam family: Bacterial small subunit ribosomal RNA
Source: RNAcentral